This 8712-nucleotide long non-coding RNA is filed under the name Hordeum vulgare. Its description in RNAcentral is "long non-coding RNA (HVUL_LNC016210)". Lineage: Eukaryota; Viridiplantae; Streptophyta; Magnoliopsida; Poales; Poaceae. The record is from RNAcentral.
GAAUCACGGGCGUUGCGCUUGGGGUCGGUGGCGGAGAAGACCGUGUAGACGAGCACGAAGGUGCCGAUGAUCUCGGCCGCUAGACCGGUGCCCUUGGAGUAGCCUGCGCUGAGCUCGUUGGCGCCACCGCCGUACCGCACGUAGUAGGAGCUCUGGAAGCCCUUGACAAGGCCGACGCCGCAGAUGGCGCCGAGGCACUGCGCGAUGAUGUAGAGCAGCGCCCGGAUGAGCGACACCUUCCUCGCCAGGAACAACCCGAAGGUCACCGCCGGGUUGAUGUGUCCACCUAUGCAUCGUGAAGAGAGAACGCGGGUCAGUCACACGCAUGUGCAUGAUGCAUGCAUACAUGCAGUUAGUAUGCGCGAGAAGUUAAGAGAACUAGUGGUCGAUCGACGGACGGACCUGAGACGCCGGCGGUGCAGUAGACGAGGACGAAGAUCAUGCCGCCGAAGGCCCAUGCUAUGCCGAGGAUGCCGACGCCGCUGCAGGCCGCGUCGGUGGUGUUGACGGUGGGGUCGGACUGGUGCUUGUACCCGAUGACGGUGGCCACGGUGAUGUAGAGGAAGAGGAGCGUGGCGACGAACUCGGCGAUCACCGCGCGGUACAGCGACCACUUGGUCAGCUCCUCGAAGUCCACGAUCGGCGCCGGGGGCGGGUCCGAGUAGUCCUUGCUGGAGAACUCGCCCCCUUGGGGUGCCGCCUCAAUGUCCUUGGCCAUUGCUAAGCUAGCUCAACCUAGUGCCCUCUAGCUUGAACGGUGCUUGCUGCAGUUGUUCAGUGUGAGGAGAAAGGGGAGGGCCGGUCAGGUAUAUAUGGGACGUGAGAGGGUGGCUCGUGCCGGGGAGAGGACGAGCUCAUCAUCAGCUCGAGUUUGGCCUGUUAAGGGGGGAGGCAGAUUGAUUAUUAGCGAGGGAUAAGGUUUUCUGCUUAGUUUUUGGGAGGUUUUGGGUUAUAAUUUGCCGCCCACAACCGACUAUAGCAUCAUCGUUAGGUCGUUUUCGGAGCCUAACGAACUGGUGGCUAGUGAUCAAUUGGAGGGGAGGGGCUGUUUUCUAAGGUAUGUGCAGUGCAGUGCAGUGCAGUGCGCUUACGUUGCUGCUGUACCGCCCUGGAAAAAAGAAUAUGCAGAAAGUUCAGAAAGCGCACCAAAGUGUUCUACUCUCGUUGCUUCUCGUUGCUGGUCACUGGCAAGCAACACAUCAUCAGUGAUGGCAAAAAAAAAAGAGAGGAUAUAGCGACCUUUAUCUAGGGGCGUGUAGAGUUAGCAUGGGUUUUGCAGAUGUCUUGGAACGAUCAACGAUGUGUCCGUUCCAAAUGCAUGCAUGCAUAUGCAGCUCCAAGUAACUUUUGCUGUAGCGCCGACUACUCCCGACAAUUUGGCAGUCCUACCUUUCAGAAAACAAUUCAGUAUACACAGACAAUGACAGGAAUUUCAACAGGUUCAGUAUAUACAUGCUUAUCCACCAAUGGAGAUGCCCAGAAACUUGAUUGCCACCAAUAACAAACAAGGACAGCGAAUCAUCGCUAAGACAGACAGCUCGCGCAGCUACUCUGCAAAUGGAGAUUCCUAACAGUAGCCUGAUUAGUUGCAGCCUGCAAGCUGUAUGACGUGAAGGCAUAAUAAGCUGCUCCCCCGCUCUUCUCCCCCCUUGCAGAAAACGUGCUCCCGAAAUUUGAAGCCCGGCUGGUUAGGUCUCGCCUUUGUGCUUACGGAGAAAUCGUGAACCAUCGGUGGUCGCUUUCUCUGAUCAAGACAAGUAUAACAACGAAACAGAUAGGCGCAGAACGUUCCUGUCUGCGAAUAUUUCUAGUAUAGUACGUAUACUCUACUACGGUGGAGUGGGCCCCUCGACCGAUGACAUCUCCUCCAUUUUCCUUUCCCUCCCGCUACAACUCGUUCCCUGUAACGAACUCCCUCGAGAUGCACAACGUACGUAUUCUCAUACGUCCAUACGGCUCCUACUGGGACACGUGGGACAACAGAGACCUUCAGAUUUACGGUAUCCACAUCAGCCGCGCGCGACCAGCCAAUCCGGCGGUGCCACCUACGAUCAUGUGGCUGGAAAGCACCGGGCGGCUCGGGUCGCUCUCACGGCCCAAUCAUUCAGAUUUUAGGAGAUGCACCCGUCGACGUAGCUAGCAGCUAGUACUACAACUGUGAUGCGGCUCGGACUUUAUGCCGACGCAGGACAAGAGCUUGUUCUUGCACGCAAAAGAAACAAGAGCUCACACAUUGCAUGUAAAAUUUACAUCUUUGUGUGAAAAGAAUGUAUUAAAAUCGUUAAGAUACAACUCUCAGCCUCUACACUAAUACGAUCUUAGAAGCACCUAGCAACUCCAACGCGCCGAUUCAAACGGACAAUAUUUUUGUCCUUGGGUCUGCCGUCCGUUCGACGUCCGUCGUAUUUAACAUUUAGAUUGGUAAUGCGUCCAACGUCCGGGAUUUAAAUUUAUUGACGUGAUCGGCUGUCCGUCCCUUUUCAACAAAUAUGAGCACGUUUUGCAUUAUUUAACAAGCAGACGUAUAAAAAAUAGCAUAGUUUCACAAUCAAAUAAAACAUAGUUUUUAAAUAAAUAAGUAUAGUUUUACAAACUGAAUAAAAAUUAAAUUGUCUUAAAUACAUAUUAAAAAAGAUACAUCUAUUGGUUGUCAACAUGAGCCCACAUAUGCUCAACCAAAUCAUUUUGCAGCUCCACGUGAGUUUCUCAAUCACACAUUCAUAAUGAAAUUGGAUGAACUGUUCAAACGUUGUCGUUCCUCCAUGCUCAUGCACAAUAUUGUCAUCCUGAAACUGAAACCCUUGAUUGUAUAUACAUUCCAGACGCUCAUCUUUUACAAUUAUAUUAUGCAUAAUCACACAAGUUGUCAUCACCUCCCACAGCUUUUUGGUGCUCCAAGUCCUAGCAGGGUACCAAACGAUGUCCCAUCGAGAUUGCAAAACGUCAAAGGCACGCUCGACGUCCUUCCUAGCACUCUCUUGCUCUUGGGCAAAUCUUUUCCUCUUCUCUCUGACAGGGUGAGGGAUUGUCUUCACAAUAGUGGUUCACUGAGGAUAGACACCGUCACCUAGGUAGCAUCAUUUAUCUUAGUUAUGGUUGUUGAUGGUAACAUUCACCGGUGGUCUGUUGCCUUCCGCAAGCCUUGCAAACACCGACGAGCGUUGAAGCACGUUGAUAUCAUUAUGUGAUCUGGCCAUGUCGAAAAAAGAAUGUCAGAUCCAAAGAUCUUGUGAGGCCACAACCUCAAGUAUGACAGUGCAAGCCCUCACAUGACCCUUAGAUUGCCCUUGCCAAGAGGUAGGGCAAUUCUUCCACUCACAGUGCAUGCAGUCUAUGCUGCCAAGCACCCUGGGAAGCCCCUGCUGGCAUUCAUCGCCAACAAGCGGACUGUAUCUUGAGGAGUCGGCUCUCUCAAGUACUAAGAGCCAAAUACAACAAUCACAGCCUUGCAGAACAUGAACAUGAACUCUAAGCAUGUAUACUCGCUCAUACGGACGUACUCAUCAAUGAGAUCACCGGACACUCCGUAUGCAAGCAUUCGGAUGGCUGUAGUGCAUUUCUGAUAAGAUGAGAAGCCAAUGCUUACACGAUGAUAAUCUUUGCACUCGAAAUAGUUAUCGCAUCCAAUCACCCCAUCUCUAAUAUGGUUGAAAACAUGCCUAGCCAUACGGAAACGCCACCAAAAUUUCUGAUGUUUUACUAGCAGGUUGGUUGUGUCAAAGUAGUCCUUCCAAAGAAGGAAAUGACCGUUCUCUCGGUUACGAUUCAACGCCGGAAGGUGUCCCGGGAUCGAGCCACAGAACAACGAUCGCCAGCUAUUAAGGUGAUGAUGGACCAACACGAUAGCCAAGAUCUCCUCCUCGUCAUCGGACGAAGAAUCGUCGGAGUCGCAAAGAAAAUAUGGAAAAAGAACUCGUCGGCGGAGUCCAUUUUGUACCUUGACAAAGUGUCGAACAACUUGUGGGUCGUCAAAGGAGCUGGCCGACGAAGAGAAGUGUGCCUCCCUUGGACCAGGUGGCUGGCCUAGAGAAGUCCCGACAGCGAGAAGGUGAUGGCGGAAAUGUGGCGACGUUGGAGGAGGUGUGUCGGCACCGGCAAAUGGGCGGCGGCGACGAUGCGUCGGAGGCGGACGAGGGUUGGCUGUCGAAUGGGUUGGGAAAGAAUGACAAUGUGACCGACUAGCGGGCAGGGGAAGGAGUAGGCGGGCGCCGCGCGCGUCCGUCUCGUGUCUGUACCGACGUAAAUCAGUAUAAAAAAUGAGCCGGAAAUGUAUCGGCAAGCGGACGAAAAGCGGACGCGUUUCCAUUUGAAUCGACGCGUUGGGUUGACUUUUUUAUCCGCCGCGAUGCAAACGAACGCGCGCGGAUGAAAUGGAUCGACGCGUUAGAGUUGCUCUAAAACAUCGCAGAUACACAUAACCAAAUUAUUAUAAAAGAAAACGACCAUUAAUUCUAACAUCGUGACAAAACAACUCACAUCAGAUGAUGGAUUUUCAUUCGAUCUAAGUAAAUUCUAUGCAAUGCCUUCAAUAUAGAAACGCUAGAUGAACGACGCGGCAAUAUGUAAAUGUACUAUUGUGUAAGCAUUGGCGCUCACAUAUUGCCGAGAUUGUCCACUGAAUUCUUCUUCAUUUCGCUGUCCUACCGACCGACAGCGAUCGGUCUUGUGCAAACAUGGGAAUAUUUGAGGCUGGAUUGCCAAAUGGACAGCGAGCCAAUGAAAUGACACACGCGAACGAACUCCUUGGAUGCCACCUUGUACAACUUGUUUUGGUCUGAGGCAAAUAAUGCUACGCCUCAUCAAGUGUUAUUCCUGUUCUGCUGGGUAAAGCCAUAUAAAGUUAUAAAAGUAAGAACCGUUUUACAUAUGUCGACCUUAGACCAUAUAUGGCGAGACCCCUUAUAUUGGUCUUAUAUGUCCAAGCGUACGUCCCGGUCACAGACUAGUUAAAAAAAUUUGCAACCCAAUCAGCCCCUUAAACCAACUCUAUACGCUCGGUUCGGUUUGACCGACACCCCUCAUAUCCAUUUCAUAUCUAAGACAUAUAUGAGGAGGCAUGACGUGUCCGGACGCACCCACCACAUCAGACCACACAGAAGGGACCCAUCAUAAAUGUCAUAAAGUCGCCCUCAACCUAGCCGGGUCGGGCCUGCCCUUAUCCCUUCCUUUCUUCUCCCUCGUCUGCAUCGCCCUCCCCUAGCUCUGCGGCCACCCGAGGUCCACCGCCAUCCCAAGCCCAUAGUGUCGCCACCACCAGCAAAAGAACUCCUCCCCACCAUUCUUGUGGCCCUAGACACGGAUGUCAUCCUAGACGCGUAGUCGUACGUCCCACUCCUUUCGGCAUACACCUUGUGUGCUAUGUGUUCGACAAAAUAUGCGGACAAUUUUUUUUUGUAUAUUUUUUGCGCACAAACCGAUGGAUUUGUUUGGUUUGUCGAAUGAAGAGUGUCCAAACAAGGAGCGUGAUGAAUUCAUUCACAAAGAGUUCUUUGAUACUUUGGAUUCGAACGACAAAGGUGCUGACUUGAUGGUGAUGAUCAACAUCUAGGAGCAAAUCGAGAGGGAAGUGGAGCACAUUCUAAACUUCAAGGGUUCAAUCAAAGUAAGGGGGAGAGGUCUAAACUAGGAUAGGGUCGUUGGUGUAUUGGCGCUCUACAAGGACUACCUCCAACCCACACCAGCAUUCCCAAAUACAUUUUUUCGUCGAUGCUUCCUUAUGCGCAAACCCUUGUUCUUGUGUGUGGUGGAAGGAGGAGAGGCACAUGAUCGCUACUUCAAACUCAUCAUCGAUUGUUGCGAACAACUCUCGUCCUCCCCUUUGCAGAAAUGCACAACUGCUCUAAUUAAAGGAUGCUUGCAUUAGGUACCGCUAUCGAUGCCGUUUGUGAAAUGGCCGACAUGAUGGAGAGCACAUGACUUGAUACCACUGUGAGAUUUCCCUGCGUUGUGGUGAAGGUGUUUGGAUCAGAGUUCUUGAGAGAUCCAACUAUGCAGGAUAUGGGAAUGUUGAUGGCUACCGGAGUGGCAAUAGGUUUUUCAUAGAUGCUCGGUUGAGUUGAUUGCAUGCAUGCAUUGGUGUUAGAAUACUCCGACACGCAUAGUCGAUCUACCGAGGACCAACCAAUCAGACGUGACACAACAUCGAUAUUUGUUAACGAGGUUCACCAAUAUGGCUACAUUGACAAGGCGUGGCUAAGAGCGCUCCUCCCUAUGAUGCCACUUCAAUACCGCACACCGGGAACUUGAGCAUCGCACACGCCGUUGAUCCAAUGUAUGUAUGUGUUAUUAUGUUAGCAUAGUUUACGUCGUGUGUUUACCCUCACAUUAUAGGAGGCCUAGGAUACAAGUGUCCUAUUAGGACAUGACUCUUACCAUGUCUCCAGACAGUUCAAAUCCAGGUCCAACUAUAACCCAGCAUGUACAUAUAUAUUCAACACAAUCCCAACAAACUCCACCUUGGCGAAUUUUCUGCAUCACCUUGGAUUAAUACAAGCGUCAAACCUUCACGUACAAUGGAUUUAGAUUAUACCAUGAACACCUCUACUACUCGCAGACUUCAUGUGACUAUACCUGCAAUUGUAGUCCCUUCUUGUCUUCUUCACAAUCAACACUUGAGCAAAAUUACGUUACUCUAAUUUGUGCGCCCAACUUUUGAAGUAUUCGUCAACGCCAUCACACAUUGAUCAUUGUAUAUGUGAAAGUGGGCAACUCAUGUAUUGGUGUUAGAAAAUGUAGUAGAAAUAAAUCGACGUACGAUCAACCAGUGACACUAUGAAGAUACAAUAACGAUUAGAAUCAGAUCAUUACUAACUCCGGUUUGCGGUGGAAGAAGAUGAGUCGGUGUAGAUUGUUGAUGAAGUCCCUCGAACCAUCGAUGAACGAUCCCGUGUGCCGCCCACGAGAAAUCCCUCGAACGUAAGAUUGAGAUCACGACCUCGGUACGAGUUGCAAGCAUACGGUCUUCACGGUCCGGGAGCGCUUCGCCAUCCAAAGAUAACCGUCACUUGCGAAUUAGAGGAGGGAUAUUAGAACCACACUGGGUUUCCAAUUAUGAGCAUUAAAGGAUCCAGGUCUAAUUCCAAUUGAUCAACUAGGACCAACUAGAACUAGAACUAGAGAACUAGAGGAGGCUUCAAAACUUGUGUCUAAAAGUGCCAAUAGCCACUAGUAUAUAUAGGUUGAAGGGAGGGGUGAGGGGCGCCACAAGGGGAAGGAAAAACUCCCUAUAGACCAGCGAAGGAGGGGGGCACCAUCUCCAAUUCAGUCUCCCCCCUUUCCUUCCACAAGGAGGAAGGGGCGCCUCCACCUAUUGGGCCCAAGUGGCCUAAUUCUCCGUCCACCACUUGGCCUUUUAAGGCAUGUUGUUAAAUUAAAUAUAAUGCCUCCUAACUAUUAUUAGAGCCUUUUAUUAUUAAUUGUGCAUCUCCGAAAACAUUUUUCACCUAUAUACUACUUGUCGGCAAUACCUGGUAUUGUGCGGUAGUCUACGAAACCUUACGGGUGACCCCAAAACGCUUCUCGAUCCUCUCGAUACUAUUUUGAAUAUUAAAACAAUUUAAAAAAACCAUUCUCAUAACUCCCGUCAUACUAACACUAAUAAGAUCAUGAUUACCUUAAGCUUGUGACCCCAUAGGUUUGGUAACACAUAGACAUGAACGAAGCCCGCUCGUUCAAUGACCGAUAUCGGAACAAUGGACAUCCAUAUCGAUCCCUAUGAGUAAAUGAAUGAUAUUCGAGUGAAACUUUGGUUAUCAUAUGGUGUUCCCUUUUCUUCACGAUACUUUACAAAACCCGAGAUGUAUCAGUAUCCUCUUGAGUAAUGCACAUGCUCACUAUACCAUUAUCCUUGUUACCGGUUUUGUUCUUCUUUCUCGUUGAUGUGUCCCGGCAUCCUAGUGACAUAGUCACUUGUGUCUGGCCAGACGAUGAUGGAUGUUGUCGCACUAAGAGGGCCCUAAGAAUAUAUCUCCAUUGUCGCAGGAUCAAACCCCACUCUUAAGCUAUCUAGUCCCUUGUCAAACUUUCGGAUUAACCUAUAAGUUAUCGUUAUGAUCACCUAGUUACACAUGACGUUUGAGCAACCCCAAAGCUCAUCGUACGGUAAGAAGUAACUAUUCACUCUCAUGGUCUAAGGAACUAAAUCACACAUCAACACUCUGUGUAAUAACUAGUAAGAUUCCCGUGCAUUACACGGAUAAUCAAAAUGCAUUGAUUUGAAGUAGUUUAUUUCGCAAAGUAUGUGGUGGCUAUCUCAUGUGUAACAGAUAUUAAUACGUUUCUUUGGAUAUAUUCAUUCUUCUCUUGAGAUCACAAGCAUCCAGUUGAAUAGUAAAUGCACAAAGAAUAGAAAACAUAACAAACCUAUUCUUGCAAACAAACACACUCAGUGUUCAAGCUGCAUGCAAAACUUCAUGAAGAAAUAAGACUCGUGGUGCUCUGCAAAAAAGGAGCUCAAACAAAGCUUUAAACAUAGUUUUUCAAGGAUUUGUUUACUUUUUAUAGUCCACUAUUGAUGACCCACAAGUAUAGGGGAUCAAUCAUAGUCCUUUAGAUAAGUAAGAGCGUCGAACCCAACGAGCAGCAGAAGGAAAUUACAAGCAGUUUUCAGCAAGGUAAGUUUUGCAAGCACUGAAAUAGUGGUAACAAGUUGUUUGAUAGCAAGAUAAUUGUAACAAAUGAUAAGUAGCAAUAGUAACAAUAGGUCCAGCAAGG